This is a long non-coding RNA of Betta splendens (Siamese fighting fish), 1640 nucleotides long. RefSeq lists it as uncharacterized. The transcript is spliced from 2 exons. NCBI's taxonomy places the organism in Eukaryota, Metazoa, Chordata, Actinopteri, Anabantiformes, Osphronemidae. The record is from RefSeq and is a predicted model, not a curated record.
GACUAGGGUCGCUCAGCCUCCAAACCUCUACAGACAUUCAGAGCUGGGAGGACUGCUCACCCGUCUGGAUCGCCUCUGACGAGAUCCACGAACUCAGAUUCAAACUCAAAUCCUAAUUUGGCUCGGCUCGAACUGAGCGCGAUGAGGGUAAAUCCGGAUCUGGACUCCUUUCCCACCAUCAGCAGAAGAACCGAAGGAGAAGAAGCGCCGACCAACAACCAGAACAGGGUGGAAGCUCUGAUACCACAGCAGCUGGAGGACACAGACCACAGCAUGGACGCCUCAGCGACUCCACAACGUCUGCAGCCAUCACGUUCUGGGCUCAUCAGAUGAACCAGCUACUACAAGCGUGUGUGUCUGACACAGACACCUGCUUAUGACAAUCAGCAAAGGAAAACAAGGACAGAGCAACAGCAGAGAAGACAUGCUCUGACACAGACACUGGUUGAAACAACAGGAGAGGCUUCAGACGUGAUCGGCCCAAUAGAGCUGCAUGCGAGGAUCCAGGAAAGGUCUGUCAUCGAGGAACAACUGUCCCAUUGAAAGGCUUCACCCACUGGCGCUCACAUGAGACUGAUGGUUGGGGAAGGAGGAAGGUGACGGUUCCUUUUCACGUGACGUACAAGACGGUACCGCAAACACACACACACAUUCAUACACGCAAUGAAGAAACACGCUUACAGCUGAUACACGCUCAAAUUCAUGUUCAUGCUUAUCUGCUCGCAAUGAAGAAUCGCUUUUUGCUCAAAAAAAAAUCCCACAGAGUGAUUUUAAAAAUAUGACAAACAGCUAAAUGACAACUGCUGCAUGACUUUGCAGUCUGAUGGGUUCAAACUAUUUUAACUUGCAACAAAUUCAGUAAUAAAAUCCUUCAUGUUUCUAAAAAUACUUGUGCACAAUAUAGGUUUGUCUGGCCAGACUAUAGAAAAACAAAACCAGACUGUAGAAAAACAAAACAGACUAUAGGAAGACUGAGACUGACUGAAACAGACUAUUAAUGACUAUUAAAGGGAAGACGACUAUUAGAGAGAAGUAAUAAUAAUUACUGUACGUACCAGACUAUUAAAGAAAACUUAUUUUUUCACUGUCUUAUGCAACAUCUGACAGCGAGACACCUUGAGAUUUAUUGUUGCUUUCAAAUUUAUGCCCAGUUAAUUUUUAGGAAGAGGUCUUGUGUAGUUUAGGUAUUUGAUUGGUUUCCACUCCAGACGGAGUGCAGGUUACAUCUACAGACAUUCUAAAUAAUCCCUCUUUUGUUGGUGUUAACUUCAGCUCAGCUGUGCUCUUAUCAUUGGCUGCUGAGGGGGGGCUGUAACUGAGGCCCUCACACAGGCUGCAUCACAGCUUGUUUAUGAUUUCACACACACACACAAACUGACCUCAACCUCCCUCUUUUGGGAUGAACACAGGUCUGCGCUUGCGAUUUCAUUUACUAACGAACAAAAAGAUUUUUGAUUUUUAUUCUACAGUUCCACACGUCCCUCUGUGAAAACAUGAUGGAGACAGACGCAGGACGUGGGUCCUUUCGUGAACAGAUGUGAACGGGGUGGAGACUGGUGAACGACUUCUGACCCCAUGUGACGUAUUCACCUACUUUGCAUACUUUAAAAAAAAAAAAAAAAAAAAAAACUUUUUUUUAU